GCUUCGUUAGCUCAGCUGGUUAGAGCUGUAGUCACCAUAUUGGACUGCGUAAGCCGCAGGUUCGAGUCCUGCACGAGGCA
This 80-nucleotide transfer RNA is filed under the name Bacteriophage sp. Its description in RNAcentral is "tRNA-OTHER". It matches the Rfam family "tRNA". Rfam says of the family: Transfer RNA (tRNA) molecules are approximately 80 nucleotides in length. The record is from RNAcentral.